Mus musculus (house mouse) is the source of this 81-nucleotide non-coding RNA. Lineage: Eukaryota; Metazoa; Chordata; Mammalia; Rodentia; Muridae. The record is from Rfam.
CCUUUAGUUUUGAGGUUGGUGUACUGUGUGUGAGUAUACAUAUUUAUCACACACAGUCACUAUCUUCGAAAGUGAGGGUGC